This is a long non-coding RNA of Zeugodacus cucurbitae (melon fly), 627 nucleotides long. RefSeq lists it as uncharacterized. The record is from RefSeq and is a predicted model, not a curated record. NCBI's taxonomy places the organism in Eukaryota, Metazoa, Arthropoda, Insecta, Diptera, Tephritidae. The transcript is spliced from 4 exons.
AUAAUUUUAUAUGUUUUAAAUUAAAAUUGUUACACUUAUGUUUAAUUGCAGAUGUCUUUAUUUAAGUCGCAAAUCCCCGAUUCUGAUUUCUUUAUCGCUUCUAGCGAGUUUACCAAUAUAAAUACAACAAAUAACAUUAAAUUAGAAGAAAAACUUGAUAUCAUUAUAGCCAACCAAAACUUCAUAAAGAGACAACAAGCAGAAACGUUGGCGAUGUUUAAGCAGCUAUUUGAAAAAGAUGUGGGCUCCUAUGGAAUGAGAAGUGUGUUCCAGUUGUCCAACUUGGAAGCAUUAAAAAAACUGAAUGCAGAUAUAGUGGCAGGUUCCAGUGCAGACUAUAUAAAAAUCAUUAAAAAUAUAAUAGGCAAAACGGGGAUUAUUAAAUCUAUUGAGGGUAUUUUCGAAAGGAGUCUUAUUGUUCAGUUGAACUACGAUGGCAUUCAUUCCAAAUACUCCUUAAAGGAAUGCAAGGGGUUAAUCGACUGCUUGUUUGAGGCAUCAAUGAAAGAAGGAUAUAAUAAAAUUAAUAGUGUCCACUGUUUCUGCUAUUGAUAGGUUUAUAGUAAGUAGUUACUAGUAAUAGAAAAAAUAGUUUGAAGGAAAGUACUUCGAAGUAUACGAAAUACU